AAACUAACAAGGAUUCCCUUAGUAGCGGCGAGCGAAACGGGAAGAGCCCAGCACUGAAUCCUGACGCGUUGACACGCGGUGGAAAUGUAGUGUGUGGGAGGAUCUGUAUAAGCCGGCGGGGACCUCGUUUAAGUCCGUCUUGAAAGCGGCCACAGCCCAUAGAGGGUGCCAGGCCCGUAUGACGAUGUGUGGAGCCCGCCGGCAUGGAUCUCUCCCAGAGUUCAAGAGUACGUGAAACCGUUCAGGGGUAAACGAAUGAUAACUGGAAAAUCGAAGCGAGAGAUUCAAACCGUGAGUCGCGCGUUGUCUUUGGCGGCGUAUCGAUCAUCUGCCUUCCCCCGUCAAUGGGCCCUAAAACCCGACGGUGCGGCAACGCAGCAUGCACGAACGGCCGCCACGGUCGCCGGCAUCGGUCUGCACUUUUCUCGUGGUAGUACGCCGCGACUCGUUGGGUGCGCGUCUAAGGCCCAUGCGGGAGCCGGCACUAACUACGCGAAUUACUCGCGUACACGGAGCCGACCGCGAGGUGACCCGACGAGCUUGCCCGACGGUGUAUAAGCGAUACGACAAGAGUCUUGCGCUUCGGCGCUCGAUGGCCGUCACCGGCACGUUCUCGCGUCAGCGGUGCUCCAUUCAGAGCCCAUUCGACCCGUCUUGAAACACGGACCAAGGAGUCUAACAUGUACGCGAGUCAUUGGGAACCACUAAACCUAAAGGCGAAAUGAAGGUAAAUGCCGGCCGCCUCGGCGGUCGGCAAAGGAGUGAUGCCGCGCCUUUGAAUCGAAUUUCUUUACACAAGCCGGCCGCAACUCCGGGGCGUCUCGUCGUCAUCGCGACGCAGCAGGCGCACCUAAAGCGUACACGUUGGGACCCGAAAGAUGGUGAACUAUGCCCGGCCAGGUCGAAGCUGGUGCUCGAAGUAUAUCCAGCGCGAAGUUUGCCGCGCGAGCGGCAUUCGCAUCCAGUCUCAUCUGGUAAAGCGAAUGAUUAGAGGCAUUGGGGUCGAAACGACCUCAACCUAUUCUCAAACUUUAAAUGGGUGAGAUCCUCGACUUGCUUAAGUGCGCUGUCGUUGAAGUCGAUCCCGCGGGAUGAACGGGCACCUAGUGGGCCAAUUUUGGUAAGCAGAACUGGUGCUGUGGGAUGAACCAAACGUCGAGUUAAGGCGCCUAAAUCGAUGCUCAUGGGAUACCAUGAAAGGCGUUGGUUGCUUAAGACAGCAGGACGGUCUUGUUGAUACGCAGUCUCAUAGUUUGUUAAACAUACACGCUGGCACACGCACCCACGCUAAAUAGUGACAUUGUACCUAGCAAACUGACCGUAUCGGGCGAAAGGGAGUACGGUUCCCAUUCCGUAACCCGGCAGCGGAACCGAUGCGCGGGCCACUGCAGCAAUGCAGAACUCGUCGGGGUGACCCAAAAGGACCCGGAGACGUCGUCGGAUGAUCGCGGCAGAGUUAUCUGUUCUGUAUAAGCGUCUAUGUUCCCUGGAAUCGCCUAGCGCGGAGAGAGGGUUUGGCUCGCGAAGAGCAUCGCACUUGCGGCGAUGUCACGAUCAUUCCGACGAACCUUGAAAAUCCGGGAGAGGGCCACGUGGAGGUGUCGCGCCGGCUCGUACCCAUUUCCGCACAAGGUCUCCAAGGUCCGG
Molecule: ribosomal RNA, 1647 nt
Filed under: Nanonemoura wahkeena
Lineage: Eukaryota; Metazoa; Arthropoda; Insecta; Plecoptera; Nemouridae
Description: partial 28S ribosomal RNA
Rfam family: Eukaryotic large subunit ribosomal RNA
Source: RNAcentral